GUAUAAUUAAGCGGAGGACUAGAAAAUAACAGAAAUUUCCUGAAUAGUGGCGAACGAAAAGGAAACAGCGCGUCGUGUAAAUCGGGUUUCCAUAAUCCGAGUUGUACAUGACUACUAACAAUAUCCAAAACCAGAUGGAGGUGUCUGGAAAGUCCCCCCAUUGACGGUGAAAGGCCGUACAUCUGUCAGAGGAUAGUGUCGUUAGUAGUAAGCAGAGUCACAUUCUUUGGGCGUAGAAUGUAAAAUGGGUGGUAACUAUCAUCCAACGCUAAAUAUUGCAAGGAGACCGAUAGCGCACAAGUA
RNAcentral lists this ribosomal RNA (303 nucleotides) under uncultured eukaryote. RNAcentral's name for it is "partial large subunit ribosomal RNA". It matches the Rfam family "Eukaryotic large subunit ribosomal RNA", at positions 40 to 350 of the family's 3401-position model. The record is from RNAcentral.